CUCAGGCUCUCAGGCCUUCAGGCUCAGACUGAGAGAUCACUGUUGGCUUCCUUGGUUCUGAGGCCUUCAGACUUAGACUAAACCACACUACUGGCUUCCCUGCUUCUGAGGCUUUAGACUGGGACCAAGCCAUGCUCCUGACUUCCUUGAUUCUCCAGUUUGCAGAUAGCUUAUUAUGGAACUGCUUAGCCACCAUAAUCAAGUAAGAGCUGUUCCCGGCUUCUAGAGGAUGUCUACAUUCUUUGGAUCAUGGUCCCUUUCUGUCAUCUUCAAAGUCAGCAACA
This 284-nucleotide long non-coding RNA is filed under the name Homo sapiens (human). RNAcentral describes it as "HSALNT0313298". The record is from RNAcentral. Lineage: Eukaryota; Metazoa; Chordata; Mammalia; Primates; Hominidae.